AGAGGAUUUUUAAGAAAUCUAGAAACUGUUAGAGGUCAGCAUUCAACAUGAAUAAGAGGGAAGACAAGCCCUGAUAAUGACAAUAUUUCAUCUGAGAACUCUGAAAAUAUAAAACUAUCACUGUAUUGGAAACCGAGACUCAACCUGAAACCCCCAUGCACAGGAAUCUGCUUUGAGUCAAAUGAAACUCAGGAGCACCUUCUGAUUAGGGCAAUGGUCCCCAGCGCUCACCAGAUGUGGUUUGGCUUCUCGGUCUACCAACUGGAGUACUUCAACACCGGCCAUUGUUCUAUAAUUCUCAAUGUUCUGCUGCAUUUCCAUGUGCUCAGGGUUGGCCAU
This is a long non-coding RNA of Herpailurus yagouaroundi (jaguarundi), 339 nucleotides long. RefSeq lists it as uncharacterized. The record is from RefSeq and is a predicted model, not a curated record. NCBI's taxonomy places the organism in Eukaryota, Metazoa, Chordata, Mammalia, Carnivora, Felidae. The transcript is spliced from 2 exons.